RNAcentral lists this ribosomal RNA (90 nucleotides) under uncultured bacterium. Its description in RNAcentral is "partial 16S ribosomal RNA". The record is from RNAcentral.
CCUUGUACACACCGCCCGCCACAUCAUGAAAGUGGAUUGUACUAGAAGUCCUAAUCAAACAGGCCCAAGGUGUGAUUCAUGAUUGGGGUG